GGGUCCGUCUCCCUGUGACUGGCUAGAGUGUCCAUGGUGUCCUUGUGACCUGCGGCCAGUCCUGCGACCCAGACCUAGGAGCCCCCCCACAGCCUGCACCUCGCACUGUGCCAGCGCUCCUGCUGCCAGCCCACUCUGCCCAGCCCUGGGGCCGCAGCCUGGGGCCAGCCCUGUCUUGGAAGUACAGCUCAGAUCAACCCACUGACCUUCCAGCUCUGGCACCAGGCAGUGGACACGCUACCCAACACGCACGUGGGGUGCCUUACGUGACCUGCUGUGCCCUGCCCGGCCCUCGGCCCACCCCGCCUUGCCUCACUGUGGCAGCUGCAAGAAGCUGCCCAUCACUCACCACCCAGCAGGCCCGUAGAUGUGAAGCCUGUGCCCCACUGCUUGUCUACAACCCGCGGCCACCUGGAGGCCAUCAGGCUGCCUGCACCAGGUGCCCAUCCACACACAGGCCAGCAGGUGCACUGGCCCCGCCCACAGCUACCAUCACGGGGCCUCUCUGAACACAGAGAGGCCGGGCUUUAGCAGGCCCAGCCCCCGGCCCCCAGGGUACAGGUCUGCUGUUGGUGAGGGGCCUCGAGGGCCUUCUCAGAGGCACUGGACCUAGGAGAGGGCCAGGGCGGGGUGUGGCUGCCCCAGCAUUUCCUGGGGCGUGGCCCUUCUGUUUUUGCAGAAAUGCAGAUCUCCUCGCCACAGGCUGCCCCUCUGGCCAGGGUAGGUUUCUGUUGUCCAGGCCAAGCUGGGGGAAGUGAAAGAGCCCAGGGCAGGAGUUUUUGGUUUGGGGGCUGGUCCAGGGGGCCCCGGGCACCUGGUUGGGGCAGGUCUCUGGAGGGCACCUGAGGACCAGUGGGGGUGAGGCUGAGGCUGCUCUAGGGGUACGACAGCCCCUCGGCCCCCGGCCCCAGGGCUCUGGUGCUCACGUGCUGAUGGCCGUCAGGAGCUGUGCUGGGGCCAGCCGCCCUGGUGAGUGCAGAUCAUACCCUCCCUCCACUCCCACCUCCGAGCCCUCCCUGCCUGCCUGCCUGGCUCCGGGCUGCUGCCAGCCCUCUCCUUGGGCCCAGGCGUCCGGUGUGUCUGUCCCCAACCUGGGGCUGCACUUGCUUCCACCUGAGCCAUGGUGCUGAGCCCUGAGCCCCUCCUCCCACAGUGCUGCCACAUCUGCGGGGGCCACCCUGAGACUGCCCGCUGAGCAGAUGGACAUGGCCACGUGGCAGCAUGCUGCCUGACCCAGGGUCCCCGCCUUCCACCUGCCCACGAGGGCGGGGCCGGAGUGCCAAGUGCGGCGGUUCCCACACCUCCCAGGCCCUCCUCGCACCGAGACUACCCUCAGCCCGCUGGAUGGUGCCUCGCCCACCAUGUGUGAACACACGUGGCCAGCAGACCUUGCAGCCCAGGCCCCCAGUGUGGCCAGAGGUGCCACCAGCAGGAGAUGCACCGCGUCACCUGGCAGAGCCUCCCGUCCACGGAACGGCCACCACAGCGACGCCGUUGUCAGCUGCGUCUCCUGUGACCCUGCACGGCAGGGCAGUCCCUCCACCUGCAGCAGGACCUGUCACCCAGCACUGCCCACUUGUGCCCUGCCACAUGGUGGCAUCACGGGGACGCACAGAUGACGUGCUGGCUCCAUGUGGCCGAGGCCAUCGGGGAGUGAUGAGGAUACAGGCUCAUGGGGCGUGCUGUGGCAGGAGCUGAGAGUUCCACGUGCUCAGUCGUGGCCGGCGCCGUCCUGGAGGGUGCCGCCCUAGCCCUCUGCUCCUUCAGCACCUGCAGCGAGCUCUGAGACAGCUUCAUCUACAAGCACGCGGAGCCCACAGUGCCUGCCACGAGGGCCUGGCUCAGGGGCAGCACGGACCCAGGACAGCAGCUGGCAGCCUGCAGCCCUCAGCGCAGAGCGGGGCAUGGCUGUGGCCACGGUCAGGCCGGGGGCUGGUGCCGAGGGUGUGGCCGUAGCAACGGCAGAGGCAGAGGACGUGGCAGCAGGGUCUUUGGCCAUGGGGGACUCAGCAGUGAGGGAGGCAGCCACGCGGCAGAGGGAGCUGGGCCACACCAUCGGCAAGGAGCUUGGCACGGGGACCCGGCCCCCAGAAGGCAGGGGCAUCACGCAGGGCAGGGCCCAAGAACUCUGAGUCCGACUUCCGGCUUUCCAGUGGGGAGCUCAACCCUGAGGACCUUGUCCUGCGGGAGCUCCUGGAUGAGAGCCAGAACGUGACCGUGACCGGCAGGGAGGACGGCUGUCCGACGCCUUUGCCAGCCUGUCUCCCACAGCCAGCAGUAUAGGAACCGGUCCUCGGCCUCCUUCAGGCCCUGUGCAGGGUGCCAGCAGCCCAGGCUCGCCACGAGGCCUGGUGGUCAGCUCUCUCUGGUCCACACUGUCCUCGGGUGGGAGUGGUUCUACCCACUGGGCCUCGUCCUCCCGGCGCUGCCCCAGGCACUUGAUGGGAGCAGGCCUCUGCCUCCUUGGCCUGGAUAAGCCCAAGGGCACCCUCGCUGGACCCUGCCUCUGUUCCCAUGGCCCUGUGGAAGUAGCACAGGGAGGGGAGUGCCACAGCUUCCUGACCUUUGCCUGCCGCCUUGACAACACCCUCGGUGUCUGGGACCUGGGCCCCAGGUCUGGGGGCUGUGCACACGGCUGACGGUCAGUUUCAUGCUCGGUGGGAAGCUGGGUGUGGAGGUCUGAGGCCGGGGACUGCAUCCUACAUCCUGACAGCAAGCUAGAGCCCGCGCCAGGCUGCCUCUGUCGCCCCCAUUCAGCAAGGAGAAGGCAGUUCCAGCUCAGGAGCCUGCCCUCCACGCUCUCCGGGACCUGUCCGGCCACCUGCUGUCCCACGAGGGAGCCAUGGUGAGCAGGGAGCACCUGGUGCAGGCUGAGACUAUCGACGCCCCUGGGCCCCAAGGAGGCCGACGUGGCGGCUGCGUGCUGCCUCUCCCAGGUGCCGUGCCGGCGCUUGCAGGCCCACCGUCCCUACAAGCAGCUGGCGAGGACAGUGCUCAGGGCGUGGAUGCAGCCGCCUCGUGGUCGGCGUGCAGGACCCAGCGGCCACCGGCUCGAGGCUGUGCGCGAGAAGCGGGAUCUGCUGCCCCUGUCGCUGCCCUCCAGCACCGUGACAGCUGCCACCCACACACCCUGCAUCUCCCGGCCACUUUCUGGGAGCACACCCCGCCUGCUGCCCACCAUGGGUGGACCUCCUCCUCGGAUGGUGUGCGUCCUCCACCAGUCCUGCGGGACGUGGCUUCUGGAAGGCCCUGGCCGCUCAGCCUCAGUCUGCUCCUGCUGGAGAGAGUGGCGGUGGCUCCUGGCCGCGGCAGGCAGCUAGUACUGUGGCAACCUUGCCCAUCCGUGGGUACCUGGACGUGGCCUGCAGCGGCAGAUCCUGCUGGUCCUGGGACAGGGCUCCGUGUACACCCCAGGGACGUCAGCAGCCUCUGGCCCGCAAGCCAGAACCACAGGCAGUGCACUUGCAGGUGGCAUGGAGGUUAAGGUGGCUGGAUCCUGCAUGGCCAACGUCCUGGUUUGAGUCCCAGACCUGCUGGCUGGAGAAACAUGCUGGGUGUGUGCG
Long non-coding RNA from Tupaia belangeri chinensis (Chinese tree shrew), 3563 nucleotides. RefSeq lists it as uncharacterized. NCBI's taxonomy places the organism in Eukaryota, Metazoa, Chordata, Mammalia, Scandentia, Tupaiidae. The record is from RefSeq and is a predicted model, not a curated record. The transcript has 3 exons.